CCUACGGGGAGCAGCAGUGAGGAAUAUUGGUCAAUGGCCGGAAGGCUGAACCAGCCAUGCCGCGUGAAGGUCAGUGCCCUAUGGGCGUUAAACUUCUUUUGUGCGGGAGCAAUAAUGGUCACGUGUGGCCAGACGAGAGUACCGUACGAAUAAGCAUCGGCUAACUCCGUGCCAGCAGCCGCGGUAAUACGGGGGAUGCAAGCGUUAUCAGGAUUUAUUGGGUUUAAAGGGUGCGUAGGCUGGGAGGUAAGUCAGCGGGGAAAUGCCCCCGCUCAACGGGGUGAAGUGCCAUUGAUACUGCCUUGCUGGAAUGCGGAUGCCGUGGGAGGAAUGUGUGGUGUAGCGGUGAAAUGCAUAGAUAUCACACAGAACACCGAUUGCGAAGGCAUCUCACGAAUCCGCGAUUGACGCUGAUGCACGAAAGCGUGGGUAUCAAACAGGAUUAGAUACCCUGGUAGUC
This 460-nucleotide ribosomal RNA is filed under the name uncultured bacterium. RNAcentral describes it as "partial 16S ribosomal RNA". It matches the Rfam family "Bacterial small subunit ribosomal RNA", at positions 338 to 795 of the family's 1533-position model. The record is from RNAcentral.